Hippocampus zosterae (dwarf seahorse) is the source of this 436-nucleotide long non-coding RNA. RefSeq lists it as uncharacterized. The transcript has 3 exons. NCBI's taxonomy places the organism in Eukaryota, Metazoa, Chordata, Actinopteri, Syngnathiformes, Syngnathidae. The record is from RefSeq and is a predicted model, not a curated record.
AUAGAGAUGUGUUGAGCCUUGUACCAAAUUACAUGUGAAUUAGCUUCUGGAGCUGAAUUUGUAAAAUUCUCAUUACAUUUGGAGAGCACCUUUUUUUUGCGGGGGGAGGGGGCAACGAAAACCUUGCAACAGCAAAAAAAAAAAAAGUUUAUCAAAAACGACAAAAUCCUCAAAUUUGGUAGCAGUUGGACGAAAACUCAGGGUGGACGUUUGCAUCUGAAAUGAUGAACUAGAAGUGAUUUCAGAAUCACUCAAGACAAAUGGUGAGGCAUUUGCGGGCGAGGUGGAGGCAAUUCAGUCAACGGAUGCUCCAGAUUGACGAGAUGAUUGGCUAGGAGAACAAAAGACCCCGACAGGCAGUUUAAGAGGGAUGAGAAUGUGCAGUUAUCUGCAGAAACACACACACACACACACACACACACACACACACAAAAAC